CUCAGUCGCCCCGAUCCUCCCUCUCCAAAGUUCUCGACUACCGGAUCUAGGACCACCUUCACCGGACUUUUUCUUUUCUUCAUCCUUGACCUCUCCUCUUCUCCUCCUUCCUCGGUGGGAGAAAUGGAGCUUGAGGUCACAACUGUGGCCGAUCAUGCCAACGCCGACUCAGCGGCCGAACACCAUAGGAAUGCACUUUCACUCCAGAGUUAGUGGCAGCAUCAAUCUGUUCCCUUGUUGUUGAAGCAAAUGUAACAAUCGCUGUGAUCAGAUAGAAGUCAGCAAGAUGUCAGCCAAAGACGUUUAAACAACUGGGUUACUGGAGUACACAAUAUCACUAUUCAGAACUUUUAAUUCACACAUUUCAGUCGCUGAGCAGAUUUGCAAUCGGCAGAUAGAAUCUGCAAAACGAGAGUUGGUUUAGAGUUCAAGAACAGAACAUGCCAUAUGGUCGAAAAAUAAUGCUCAAUGCCAAAGGAACCAGAAUAUUGGAAAGAAAGUACUAGAUGCUUACUUCUUUCAUGUUCUUAUCUUGGACAAAAACAACAUCAACUUCAGCAUGCUCUAUUAUGUAAUUGAUAGCCCCUGAUCCUGUUGCCAUAAAAAGGCUGAGAGGCAUUAUGA
Phoenix dactylifera (date palm) is the source of this 624-nucleotide non-coding RNA. Lineage: Eukaryota; Viridiplantae; Streptophyta; Magnoliopsida; Arecales; Arecaceae. The record is from RefSeq and is a predicted model, not a curated record.